RNAcentral lists this long non-coding RNA (1669 nucleotides) under Anas platyrhynchos platyrhynchos (common mallard). RNAcentral's name for it is "lncRNA (ENSAPLG00000017970.1)". The record is from RNAcentral. Lineage: Eukaryota; Metazoa; Chordata; Aves; Anseriformes; Anatidae.
AAUGAAAUGGUGCUGUAUCUCAAUUGCCUUGAAGGCAGUGCCUCACUCAAAAUACCUUCUCAGUAAGAGGAUGUAGGGUGCAAUUCAUCUUCAGAUCUCAGGUCAGAAUGAUUUGCGGACAAACAUGUCAUGUUGACUCCCUGUGACUGACCAUCAUGGGCAUUGACUUCUGGGCUUUGGAACAGCUGCUGCUUCCGUAGACUGUUGAGGCAUAAAAACCUCUUGGAAUAGGACUCAGAAGAUGUUUCUGUUUUUUUCAAUAAGCACGUGAAAUUCCCAGAUUGGGAUUGGAGCUAUGGAAUUUGUAUUUCUGUCAUAAUGUGUGGUCUCACCUGGGCGUACUCUACCCUUUUCCCUACACCAAAUGUGCAUAGCACAGUUGGGUCUGACUUGCCCAAGCUACCUCCUAAAAGUCAAGGUUGUCAGACACCAAGUGAUGUAUGAGCUCCAACAGCACUGCUCUGCAGUUGGUGACCUGCCUGCUCAGGGAGUUCAGGUCCACGGUUGGAUUAACAUCUCAUUCCUUCUGUAUGUCUGGAUAUCUGGAAUUGCCUUGACAUGUUGAAAGAAAUGCCAUCAAGCUUCUUUUACGUAUUUUGGAUGUGCUUUAAUUCUUAGUAUACUUCAGCUUCAUACCUGUUCUGUAAUAAUACAUCACAUUUGAAAUCACAGUGACAGUGGAUUAUCCAACUUCUGUGGAGUCAAAAUCAGAUGCAGCAUCUCUUGUACGUAGCGAAUUCAGGAUCACUCAGUGCAUAUGCUUCCUCCCUCCCUGACUAUUUUACUACCCUUGCAUAGUUGGUCUUCAUACAGGCGUUAACAGAGAACCAUUCAUAAUGUCAAAUGCUUAAAAUUUCCAAUCUCAGUAAGAAAGUUGCCAUCUUGUAGUCUUCCUGUUUGCUGGGACUUGCUCCUUUAAGGCAAAGAUGAAGCUUGAUGUAGCUUGUGUAGAGAAGUUUCCCAAAUUUCCAGAGAACCAACCGAAGGCUUUUAAUAGCUGCCUUCUUGUACUUGUGCUUACCUCACCUCUGCUCCGCAGGCAGUGCAUCUUCUCAUUGUGUCCUAGCCCUGAGGCUCUGACACAGAGCUGCCUCUAGCUUCACACCAUACCGGGCAGUGCGGCAGCCCUUCUAGCUGGCUCCUGCCAGCAAGGCCUGAAAUUGCCACUGCCCUCACAUUCGGCCUUUUGAUGGUUUCUUACUGAGCUCUAACAGAAACAACAAAUCUCCUUAUUUUGUUGCUAAGUCCAUGGUGUUUAAAUUGCACUGACUCUUUGGUCAGAGUUCAGCGCAGCAAACUGUAGGGAAUGGUUUUUGACUGAGAUGGAGCUUAGGAGAUGUAUUAUUUAUUGCAUUCAAUUUUGAAAUGUGGCAAGUGCUAUAAAAUGUUUUUUCCCCAGCUAACUCAAAGCUAUGAAGGAUAGAGAGCCUGCUUCAUUUCAAAUACCUUGCCUUGCCUGUUCUUGGUGGAACUGAAAAUAUGUUUAGAGGGUUAUUUUUUGGUUGUUAUUUUCCCAUGUAUUUGAUAACCCAUUAGAAGUCUUGGUCAGUUUCAAGAAGUAACUGGAAGAGAGUCACAAAAUGCUGCUCGUGUCAUUAGACAUUCUUACUUUAUAUAAAAAAUACUUCAUAUGAAUAAAAAGCUGAAUUUCUUUUAAAAUUUUAAGAUA